This 492-nucleotide ribosomal RNA is filed under the name uncultured bacterium. RNAcentral describes it as "partial 16S ribosomal RNA". It matches the Rfam family "Bacterial small subunit ribosomal RNA", at positions 29 to 507 of the family's 1533-position model. The record is from RNAcentral.
AGUGAACGCUGGCGGUAGGCCUAACACAUGCAAGUCGAACGGCAGCACAGUAAGAGCUUGCUCUUACGGGUGGCGAGUGGCGGACGGGUGAGGAAUACAUCGGAAUCUACUUUUUCGUGGGGGAUAACGUAGGGAAACUUACGCUAAUACCGCAUACGACCUACGGGUGAAAGCAGGGGAUCUUCGGACCUUGCGCGAUUGAAUGAGCCGAUGUCGGAUUAGCUAGUUGGCGGGGUAAAGGCCCACCAAGGCGACGAUCCGUAGCUGGUCUGAGAGGAUGAUCAGCCACACUGGAACUGAGACACGGUACAGACUCCUACGGGAGGCAGCAGUGGGGAAUAUUGGACAAGGGGCGCAAGCCUGAUCCAGCCAUACCGCGUGGGUGAAGAAGGCCUUCGGGUUGUAAAGCCCUUUUGUUGGGAAAGAAAAGCAGCAGGUUAAUACCCCGCUGUUCUGACGGUACCCAAAGAAUAAGCACCGGCUAACUUCGUG